RNA transcript from Leopardus geoffroyi (Geoffroy's cat), 1999 nucleotides. It is a transcript of the gene named heterogeneous nuclear ribonucleoprotein A2/B1, with no coding region annotated. The record is from RefSeq and is a predicted model, not a curated record. The transcript has 13 exons. Lineage: Eukaryota; Metazoa; Chordata; Mammalia; Carnivora; Felidae.
GACGUAGGGGAAGACGCGUUGGUCGGGGGGAAGGUUCUAGAAAAGCGGCGGCAGCGGCUCUAGCGGCAGUAGCAGCAGCGCCGGCUCCCGUGUGGAGGUGCUCUUAGCGGUGUUGUUUCUCGAGCAGCAGCAGCUCUCACUACAGCGCCAGGACGAGUCCGGUUCGUGUUCGUCCGCGGAGAUCUCUCUCAUCUCGCUCGGCUGCGGGAAAUCGGGCUGAGGCGACUGAGUCCGCGAUGGAGAAAACUUUAGAAACUGUUCCUUUGGAGAGGAAAAAGAGAGAAAAGGAACAGUUCCGUAAACUUUUUAUUGGUGGCUUGAGCUUUGAAACCACAGAAGAAAGUUUGAGGAACUACUACGAGCAAUGGGGGAAACUUACAGACUGUGUGGUCAUGAGAGAUCCUGCAAGCAAAAGAUCAAGAGGAUUUGGUUUUGUAACUUUUUCGUCCAUGGCUGAGGUUGACGCUGCCAUGGCUGCAAGACCUCAUUCAAUUGAUGGGAGAGUGGUUGAGCCAAAACGUGCUGUUGCAAGAGAGGAAUCUGGAAAGCCAGGGGCUCACGUAACUGUGAAGAAGCUGUUUGUUGGUGGAAUUAAAGAAGAUACUGAGGAACAUCAUCUUAGAGAUUACUUCGAAGAGUAUGGGAAGAUUGAUACCAUUGAGAUAAUUACUGAUAGGCAGUCUGGAAAGAAAAGAGGCUUUGGAUUUGUUACCUUUGAUGAUCAUGAUCCCGUGGAUAAGAUUGUGUUGCAGAAAUAUCAUACCAUCAAUGGUCAUAAUGCAGAAGUAAGAAAGGCUCUGUCUAGACAAGAAAUGCAGGAAGUCCAGAGCUCUAGAAGUGGAAGAGGAGGCAACUUCGGUUUUGGAGAUUCUCGUGGUGGUGGUGGGAAUUUUGGACCAGGCCCGGGAAGUAACUUUAGAGGAGGAUCUGAUGGAUAUGGAAGUGGUCGCGGAUUUGGGGAUGGCUAUAAUGGGUAUGGAGGAGGACCUGGAGGUGGCAAUUUUGGAGGUAGCCCUGGUUAUGGAGGAGGAAGAGGAGGAUAUGGUGGUGGAGGACCUGGAUAUGGCAACCAGGGUGGGGGCUACGGAGGUGGUUAUGACAACUAUGGAGGAGGAAAUUACGGAAGUGGAAAUUACAAUGAUUUUGGAAAUUAUAACCAGCAACCUUCUAACUAUGGUCCAAUGAAGAGUGGAAACUUUGGUGGUAGCAGGAACAUGGGGGGACCAUAUGGUGGAGGAAACUAUGGUCCUGGAGGCAGUGGAGGAAGUGGGGGUUAUGGAGGGAGAAGCCGAUAUUGAGCUUCUUCCUAUUUGCCAUGGCAUUGAUAUGAACCAUGGACAAGUAUAUUCUGCUGCCACAAAGACUGUAAAGUGCUUCAUUUCAACAGCUGAGGCGCAAGCCAAGUGAUCAUUAAUAAAGCUUUUCUUGGUUCCUUCAGUGGUGUUGGUAGUAAAAUGGAAGGUGUCUUGCUGCAGGUAACUAAUGAAGAAGUGGUCAACCACAGAGUCUUCAAGAAAUAAGAAAUACUGUACCAUCUGAAAGUAGUUCUUGUUGGUGCCUUCAUUUAAAAAAAAGCACUUUAAGAUUAAAGGGAAAUGUUUUCUGAUAAAAUACAUCAUUUAGUACAGGUUCUUAAUCUAAAACCAUUACAAAUUGAGUACUGUUUGUAAAAGAGUAACAUCAAGUAAGCUAGAGAGAGAAAUGUAUCAUGUUUUAAAUUAGGUUUUGUGAGUAGACAGAUUAAAAUUCUAUUUUAAAUAUAAAGUUUAUAAAAUAAACACUUUUGUAUUCAAAUACUUGGUGUAAUGUUUACACAUAAAAUGUGUGAAUCUUGUUCUAUCAACUUACAGUUGUCUAAAAGAUUGCCAUCCCCUAGAGUUUUAAAGCAGUUUCACAAAGCUAUGCAUAUUGCCAUUUUUAUUUCAACAUUAAUAGUCAAGAAAAGCAUUGUGGACAUUAUUGGCUGUCCCUAAUAAAAUGCCAUUCUUUUUAUACUGUA